AUACUUACCUGGCAGGGGAGACGCCAUGAUCAAGAAGGUGGUAUUCCCAUAGAUGAGACGAUAUAUGCUGACCCUGCAAUUUCCCCAAAUGUGAGAAACUCAACUGCUUAAUUUGUGGUGUGGUGGACUGAGUCCUUU
Molecule: small nuclear RNA, 138 nt
Filed under: Nannospalax galili (Upper Galilee mountains blind mole rat)
Lineage: Eukaryota; Metazoa; Chordata; Mammalia; Rodentia; Spalacidae
Description: U1 spliceosomal RNA (ENSNGAG00000003379.1)
Rfam family: U1 spliceosomal RNA
About the family: U1 is a small nuclear RNA (snRNA) component of the spliceosome (involved in pre-mRNA splicing). Its 5' end forms complementary base pairs with the 5' splice junction, thus defining the 5' donor site of an intron. There are significant differences in sequence and secondary structure between metazoan and yeast U1 snRNAs, the latter being much longer (568 nucleotides as compared to 164 nucleotides in human).
Source: RNAcentral